GACGAACGCUAGCUACAGGCUUAACACAUGCAAGUCGAGGGGUAACGAGAGGAAAGCUUGCUUUCCUUGUCGACGACCGGCGCACGGGUGAGUAACGCGUAUCCAACCUGCCCCCAACUAGGGAAUAACCUUGCGAAAGUAAGACUAAUACCCUAUAAUUUCCUCAGAUGCCAUCUGACGAGGAAUAAAGAUUUAUCGGUUGUGGAUGGGGAUGCGUCUGAUUAGCUUGUUGGCGGGGUAACGGCCCACCAAGGCAACGAUUAGUAGGGGUUCGGAGAGGAAGGUCCCCCACAUUGGAACUGAGACACGGUCCAAACUCCUACGGGAGGCAGCAGUGAGGAAUAUUGGUCAAUGGGCGGAAGCCUGAACCAGCCAAGUAGCGUGCAGGAUGACGGCCCUAUGGGUUGUAAACUGCUUUUAUACAGGAAUAAAGUUAGCCACGUGUGGUUAUUUGUAGGUACUGUAUGAAUAAGGACCGGCUAAUUCCGUGCCAGCCGCCGCAGUAA
RNAcentral lists this ribosomal RNA (506 nucleotides) under uncultured bacterium. Its description in RNAcentral is "partial 16S ribosomal RNA". It matches the Rfam family "Bacterial small subunit ribosomal RNA", at positions 28 to 523 of the family's 1533-position model. The record is from RNAcentral.